AGAGAGAGAGAGAGAGAGAGAUGGUGAGAAACAGAGAGAGAGAGAGAGAGAGCGAGAGGGUGAGAAACAGAGAGAGAGAGAGAGGAGGGAGGAGAGAGAGUGAGGGUGAGAAACAGAGAGAGAGAGAGAGGGUGAGAAACAGAGAGAGAAAGAGAGGGGAGGAGAGAGAGGGAGGGAGGGAGGGAGGGAGGGAGGGUGAGAAACAGAGAGAGAGAGAGUGAGAAACAGAGAGAGAGGGAGGGUGAGAAACAGAGAGAGAGAGAGGGAGGGUGAGAAACAGAGAGAGAGAGAGAGAGAGAGAGGGUGAGAAACAGACAGAGAGAGAGAGAGAGAGAGAGGGAGAGUGAGAAACAGAGAGUGAGAGAGAGAGAGAGAGAGAGGGAGGGUGAGAAACAGAGAGAGAGGGAGGGUGAGAAACAGAGAGAGAGAAGGGGUGAGAAACAGAGAGAGAGA
This is a long non-coding RNA of Oncorhynchus tshawytscha (Chinook salmon), 453 nucleotides long. The record is from Ensembl. NCBI's taxonomy places the organism in Eukaryota, Metazoa, Chordata, Actinopteri, Salmoniformes, Salmonidae.